AACGAACGCUGGCGGCAGGCUUAACACAUGCAAGUCGAACGAUAUAGUGGCGGACGGGUGAGUAACACGUGAACUACCUACCAUAAAGUGGAGGACAGUCCUGGGAAACUGGGUUUAAUACUCCAUGUGCAUAUAUGUAAAGGUGCCUUCGGGUGUCGCUUUAUGAUGGGUUCGCGGUCUAUCAGCUAGUUGGUGAGGUAAUGGCUCACCAAGGCGACGACGGAUAGCUGGUCUUAGAGGAUGAUCAGUCACACUGGAACUGAGACACGGUCCAGACACCUACGGGUGGCAGCAGUCGAGAAUAAUUCACAAUGGACGAAAGUCUGAUGGUGCAACGCCGCGUGGAGGAUGACGGUUUUCGGAUUGUAAACUCCUGUCAUUGUAGAGUAAGACUUAGUCGUUAAUAGCUUCUAAGUUUGAGAGUAUACAAAGAGGAAGGGACGGCUAACUUCG
This 453-nucleotide ribosomal RNA is filed under the name uncultured Verrucomicrobiaceae bacterium. Its description in RNAcentral is "bacterial SSU rRNA". It matches the Rfam family "Bacterial small subunit ribosomal RNA", at positions 29 to 505 of the family's 1533-position model. Lineage: Bacteria; Pseudomonadati; Verrucomicrobiota; Verrucomicrobiia; Verrucomicrobiales; Verrucomicrobiaceae. The record is from RNAcentral.